ACCUGCCCAGUGACCUUUAAAUAAUAAAAUAAAAUUUUUUAAAGAAGGUUAAAAGGACGCGGUAACCUUGACCGUGGUAAUGUAGCAUAAUCACUCGCCAUUUAAUUGGUGGAUAGUAUGAAUGGUUGAACGAAUAUUCCACUGUCUUAGAAAGAAUUAAUAAAAAUUGAAAUAAUAGUUAAGAUGCUAUUUUAAACUGUAAGACGAAAAGACCCUAUAGAGCUUAACUAUAAUCUCUAUUUAACUCACGGAGAAAUAACUCCUUAAUAAUAGAGAUUGGUAGUUUAGUUGGGGCGACUGUCUUUUAAAUUUAACAAAGACAAGCAAUGUUAAUAAAGAAUUUAUUGUAUAACCGAAAAGUUUAACAAUUAUGAGUAUAGGCUAUAAUGACCCGUUAGAACAUUAUAAAAUGUCUAACGAUCAAUUAAUAAAAGCUACCUUAGGGAUAACAGGAUAAUUUUAUUUUAGAGUCCCCAUCGAAAAUGAAGUUUGUCACCUCUAUGUUGAAUUAAGAUAUCCUGAUAAUGCAGAAGUUAUCAAAGGUAGGUC
Molecule: ribosomal RNA, 549 nt
Filed under: Eutonina indicans
Lineage: Eukaryota; Metazoa; Cnidaria; Hydrozoa; Leptothecata; Eirenidae
Description: partial 16S ribosomal RNA
Rfam family: Bacterial large subunit ribosomal RNA
Source: RNAcentral